RNAcentral lists this ribosomal RNA (560 nucleotides) under uncultured Glomus. RNAcentral describes it as "SSU rRNA". It matches the Rfam family "Eukaryotic small subunit ribosomal RNA", at positions 546 to 1106 of the family's 1831-position model. Lineage: Eukaryota; Fungi; Glomeromycota; Glomeromycetes; Glomerales; Glomeraceae. The record is from RNAcentral.
AAUUGGAGGGCAAGUCUGGUGCCAACAGCCGCGGUAAUUCCAGCUCCAAUAGCGUAUAUUAAAGUUGUUGCAGUUAAAAAGCUCGUAGUUGAAUUUCGGGAUCAAUAUUUCGGUCAUGCCGUUGGUAUGCACUGUUAUCAUUGAUUUCUCACCUUCUAAAGAACCGUAAUGCCAUUAAUUUGGUGUUACGGGGAAUUAGGACUGUUACCUUGAAAAAAUUAGAGUGUUUAAAGCAGGCUCACGCUUGAAUACAUUAGCAUGGAAUAAUGAAAUAGGACAUCCGAUUCUAUUUUGUUGGUUUCUAGGAUCGAUGUAAUGAUUAAUAGGGAUAGUUGGGGGCAUUAGUAUUCAAUUGUCAGAGGUGAAAUUCUUGGAUUUAUUGAAGACUAACUACUGCGAAAGCAUUUGCCAAGGAUGUUUUCAUUAAUCAAGAACGAAAGUUAGGGGAUCGAAGACGAUCAGAUACCGUCGUAGUCUUAACCAUAAACUAUGCCGACUAGGGAUCGGAUGAUGUUAAUUUUUUAAUGACUCAUUCGGCGCCUUACGGGAAACCAAAGUGU